UUGAAAAUAAAUUUGAAUUAAAAAUAGUGUAAGAGAAAAUUACUUUAUUGCAAAAAAGCGUGGGGUGCUUAAUAACCGAAUCGCUAUCUUCUUCUGCAUCACAUAAUCAUCGGACUGUCAUCUCGAAGAACACCUUAUAGUCAUUCUACAACACAAAUCAAAAAAGACCCUCCGUUAAUCCAGUAGAAACCUAUCAAACCAAUGAUGUUAUAGUAAAAAGAGGUAGAUAAGUUACUUGAGUUCGUAAAGUGGCGCCGUAAAACUGAGCUAAUUAGCGCACUCAAGCUUAGUCUCGUGAAAGCAUUGGUUUCCGGCAAAUGUAUUAAGAUGUAACCAAUGGAUAAAUAUUGUACGUAGACAAAGACAUGAAGAGGAUUGGCGGCCAAAUAAUAAUGAACUAAAUGAAAAUAAAAAAAUAAAAUUAUUUGUC
This is a long non-coding RNA of Bombyx mori (domestic silkworm), 430 nucleotides long. RefSeq lists it as uncharacterized. The transcript has 2 exons. The record is from RefSeq and is a predicted model, not a curated record. Lineage: Eukaryota; Metazoa; Arthropoda; Insecta; Lepidoptera; Bombycidae.